This 231-nucleotide long non-coding RNA is filed under the name Phascolarctos cinereus (koala). Its description in RNAcentral is "lncRNA (ENSPCIG00000004160.2)". The record is from RNAcentral. Lineage: Eukaryota; Metazoa; Chordata; Mammalia; Diprotodontia; Phascolarctidae.
GACUGGCAGUUUCUUCUAACAGAUUUCAUGAAGCUGUCAAGCUAGCCCAGCUGCUUGGCUGAAUCACACUGAAUUGGGAGUAUGACAGGACUUAUUCAACCCACAAGAGCUUCUCUCUCCAGAAACACAUUAAAAGCAAGUGGUUUAUCUCCAGUAAAGAACUAAACAUUUGAGGUGUCCUACAUGAAGACUUUAUAUAAAACUGUACCAGGCCUAAACAUUACUAUUUCA